GGGUAUUAAUCAACAAGUCAAAUUGAAUGGUUGUUUCGUAAAAAGAAAUUCAUAAUUGGUGAUUGACAUACAUCAGACAGUUUUUUAUAAGAUAAGAUAACUCUUUGAAUUAAGUCCCUUUAUUUUUUUUUUUAUCAUUUAAUUAUAAUUUUUAGGAUUUUCAUUUUAAAAGAAUUAAAGAGUGGUGACGCCAGUACAACUUUUAUUUUCAGCUUCACUGGAUUCAUUACACAAAAAAAAAGUGGAAAUAAAUAUAAAAUAAGUUCCAAUACCAAUAGUGAAGGAUCUCUAACGGUUUUAAAUAGUAAUCAAAUAUACCAAGUACAGCACAGUUUGUUUUGUUGAUGUUUUUUCUAAUUUUCGUAAAUGAAAUCGAUUAAAAAAUAUUUGUUGACCGAAAACUUAUAUGCCAAUGUUCUGAUUUUAUUUUCAAUUUAUAUCCGUUAGUUUUCGCAUUCUUUUAAGACAUCUAGCUGUUUAGUACCUGCGAAUUUACCAAUUGCGUCCUAUUCCUUAUAAUAACUGUUUACCAUUCCUAGUAGGGUGACAAUGGCAAGAGCCAUUAGUUAACAUACCCGAAUCAAUCUCUUUCUUUUUUUUUUUUUGAGCUUUUGAUUUUGAUUAGGGACUUUCCGUUUUUAAUUUACCUCGGAGUUCAGUAAUUGUGUGAUUUUACAUUUUUCUGUUUGGAAUAGUUAUCAAAGGUACUAGGAUUAUAAUUUAGUACGCCAGACGCGCGUUUCGUCUACAUAAGACUCAUCAGUGACGCUCAUAUCAAAAUAUUUAUAAAGCCAAACAAGUACAAAGUUGAAGAGCAUUGAGGAUCCAAAAUUCCAAAAAAGUUGUGCCAAAUACAUCUAAGGUAAUCUAUGCCUGGGAUAAGAAAAUCCUUAGUUUUUCGAAAAAUUCAAAGUUUUGUAAACAGGAAAUUUAUAAAAAUGACCACAUUAUUGAUAUUCAUGUCAACAGCGAAGUGUUGACUACUGGGCUGGUGAUACCCUUCGGGACGAAACGUCCACCAGCAGUGGCAUCGACCCAGUGGUGUAAAUAGUUAUCAAAGGUACCAGGAUUAUAAUUUAGUACGCCAGACGCGCGUUUCGUCUACAUAAGACUCAUCAGUGACGCUCAUAUCAAAAUAUUUAUAAAGCCAAACAAGUACAAAAUUCAAAGUUUUGUAAACAGGAAAUUUAUAAAAAUGACCACAUUAUUGAUAUUCAUGUCAACAGAAAUCAGACUAUUCUCUUGUUUUUUUUUUUUUUUUUUUUUUUUUUUUUUUUUUUUUGUUUUUUAUUUAAAUUUAAUUCUAUGUACCAUCUGUGAACAAUGGUAAAUAACUGGUGCCUCUACUUUUAAUCUGUUUUACUAAUUUUUCAUCUGACGUCGAUUGACUACCUUCAAAUGGAAAAGGCAAAAAUUGAUUGUGUAAUACUAAACUAAGAGGGUGCCUACAACUUUCUCUUCUAAUUUGAUACUAAGAGGGUUCCUAUUUUUUGUCUUCUAAUAUAAUUUGAAGGGGACUCCUAUUGCUUUCUUCUAAUAUAAUACUUUUGAUACUACAUUCAGUGUAAACUUCGAAUAUUAAAAUAUUAAGGGUACCUUAUGCCUAGAAGGUUCCUUUUUAUGAUAUCUACUAAGUAAAAUGUGAUCAUCUAAUGAUAUAGUAUGGAGUGUAUCUAUGAAAUAUACAUAGAACAAUUUCAAAUAAUUUGUUUUCAAUAUGUAUACAGUGUGAUGUCGUUAACACACCAGGGAAACUGUAAUACGACUUGAUGAAGAAAAUGUUAGCAUACAGUCUUUAACUAAAACGAUUGUCUAUACAAACGGCAAAGCACUAUAUCUCCCCAGUUUAAAAUAAGGUAUACAACUUUUCAUCCCCCCUUUGAAUACUUAAUUGGUAAUAAAAUAUGUUCUUGUUCUAGUUCAUGUUCUAUACUCUUUGAUUAAUCCUUAAUGAAUAUGUAUACAUGUUUACGAAUAUUUCACAUUUUUAAAAUUAGAAAAAUAUAUAUUCUUAGGAUUAUUUGUAAUGCUAAGAAGAUAUAUAUUUUUUGGUAUAUUAGGUAAUUUUGUGAUUAAAAUCUGUGAAAAAGAAAUAAAAAUAUU
Molecule: long non-coding RNA, 2103 nt
Filed under: Mytilus galloprovincialis (Mediterranean mussel)
Lineage: Eukaryota; Metazoa; Mollusca; Bivalvia; Mytilida; Mytilidae
Source: RNAcentral